Molecule: ribosomal RNA, 497 nt
Filed under: uncultured bacterium
Lineage: Bacteria
Description: partial 16S ribosomal RNA
Rfam family: Bacterial small subunit ribosomal RNA
Source: RNAcentral
GAUGAACGCUGGCGGCGUGCCUAAUACAUGCAAGUCGAGCGAACAGACGAGGAGCUUGCUCCUCUGACGUUAGCGGCGGACGGGUGAGUAACACGUGGAUAACCUACCUAUAAGACUGGGAUAACUUCGGGAAACCGGAGCUAAUACCGGAUAAUAUAUUGAACCGCAUGGUUCAAUAGUGAAAGACGGUUUUGCUGUCACUUAUAGAUGGAUCCGCGCCGCAUUAGCUAGUUGGUAAGGUAACGGCUUACCAAGGCAACGAUGCGUAGCCGACCUGAGAGGGUGAUCGGCCACACUGGAACUGAGACACGGUCCAGACUCCUACGGGGGGCAGCAGUAGGGAAUCUUCCGCGAUGGGCGAAAGCCUGACGGAGCAACGCCGCGUGAGUGAUGAAGGUCUUCUGAUCCUAAAACUCUGUUAUUAGGGAAGAACAAAUGUGUAAGUAACUAUGCACGUCUUGACGGUACCUAAUCAGAAAGCCACGGCUAACUACGUG